RNAcentral lists this ribosomal RNA (1365 nucleotides) under uncultured bacterium. RNAcentral's name for it is "bacterial SSU rRNA". It matches the Rfam family "Bacterial small subunit ribosomal RNA". The record is from RNAcentral.
UGGCUCAGAACGUACGCUGGCGGCACGCUUAACACAUGCAAGUCGAACGAAGUAGCAAUACUUAGUGGCAGACGGGUGAGUAACAUGUGGGUAUCUGCCCUUUGGCCUGGAAUAACACGAGGAAACUUGUGCUAAUACCGGAUAAGUCUUUACGGAGAAAGCUUUAUGCACCAUUGGAUGAGCCCGCACUUGAUUAGUUUGUUGGUGGGGUAACGGCCUACCAAGACUGUGAUCAAUAGCUGAUUUGAGAGGAUGAUCAGCCACAUUGGGACUGAGACACGGCCCAAACUCCUACGGGAGGCAGCAGUGGGGAAUCUUGCACAAUGGAGGAAACUCUGAUGCAGCGAUGCCGCGUGAGUGAAGAAGGCCCUUGGGUUGUAAAGCUCUUUCGUCGGGGAAGAAAAUGACUGUACCCGAAUAAGAAGGUCCGGCUAACUUCGUGCCAGCAGCCGCGGUAAUACGAAGGGACCUAGCGUAGUUCGGAAUUACUGGGCUUAAAGAGUUCGUAGGUGGUUGAAAAAGUUAGUGGUGAAAUCCCAGAGCUUAACUCUGGAACUGCCAUUAAAACUUUUCAGCUAGAGUAUGAUAGAGGAAAGCAGAAUUUCUAGUGUAGAGGUGAAAUUCGUAGAUAUUAGAAAGAAUACCAAUUGCGAAGGCAGCUUUCUGGAUCAUUACUGACACUGAGGAACGAAAGCAUGGGUAGCGAAGAGGAUUAGAUACCCUCGUAGUCCAUGCCGUAAACGAUGUGUGUUAGACGUUGGAAAUUUAUUUUCAGUGUCGCAGCGAAAGCGAUAAACACACCGCCUGGGGAGUACGACCGCAAGGUUAAAACUCAAAUGAAUUGACGGGGACCCGCACAAGUAGUGGAGCAUGUGGUUUAAUUCGAAGAUACGCGCAGAACCUUACCAACACUUGACAUGUUCGUCGCGACUCUAAGAGAUUAGAGUUUUCGGUUCGGCCGGACGAAACACAGGUGCUGCAUGGCUGUCGUCAGCUCGUGUCGUGAGAUGUUGGGUUAAGUCCCGCAACGAGCGCAACCCUCACUUUUAGUUGCCAUCAUUUAGUUGGGCACUCUGAAAGAACUGCCAGUGAUAAGCUGGAGGAAGGUGGGGAUGACGUCAAGUCCUCAUGGCCCUUACGUGUUGGGCUACACACGUGCUACAAUGGUAUCUACAACAGGAAGCAAGACUGCGAGGUCAAGCAAAUCCUUAAAAGAUACCUCAGUUCGGAUUGCACUCUGCAACUCGAGUGCAUGAAGCUGGAAUUACUAGUAAUCGUGGAUCAGCGUGCCACGGUGAAUGCGUUCCCGGGUCUUGUACACACCGCCCGUCACACCAUGGGAGUUGGUUCUACCUUAAGGCAAGG